UAUAAUAAAGGGCUGACCCAAAAUAAAUAUGAUUUAGACAUGAUGUUUUUUAUCAAUUAAUCACUUUAACCUCUUUAUGCGGUGCUAUAUUGCUAGGACAGUAGAUCAUGAUAGUUUGACAAAUUUUGGUUGUGAUAAAGGAGGACUUUCUCAUUAUUUACCACAGUUUUUUCUAGUAUUUUAUGUCAACAUCUGUCGAUAUUGUUAGGACUUCUUAAUCAAUCUUCAGAGAUUUUUUUUUUUCCGAUGUUGCUUGUGGGGCUAGCAUACUGUAGACUGGCUCUUGCAAGUUUCUGUUGACUGAAUUCAAUUUGAUAGUCCUUUUUUUUUUUUGCUUUUGCUGUGUUGCCAUGUAAGGUAAUUUCUAACAUGGGUUGAGAAGCUUCCUUGGUGGUUCUGGAUGCAUUAAUGCAGAACAUGCAAUGAGAUGAAGAUAGCAUGAUAUUAAUGCAUUGUAAGAUUUACUAAUCAGAUUAUUUUGGGAACCUGGGGUUUUGACUACAGGUACAUCCCCACGCCAUGUGAAAAGGAGACCGAAGAAGGCAACAGCACAGUCGGAUGAUGAAGAAUGAUGUUCUGUACCCAACAAAGUUGAAAUUGGGGUAAACAGAAUUCCGUAGGAUGCAGUUAUGUAUUAUGUUCUUUCAAACUUACAUUAGUCUUGCUCGAGCACUAGCUGACCUUAGCAUGCAUGUCGAUAUGUUCAAUUGUUCAUGUCUAUCUGGGUAUGUUUGCAGACAAUGCGUUGCAAUUUUUAUUAAUGUUGGACAGGUUGAAUUUUUUCGGGUCAAGUGGGUUUGCUGAUUUCAGGUACUCAUCAUUAGUAAUGCCUAUUAUUUAACGUUUUCUAUUUUCAUGUACAGGCUUGGAUGCAUUGUAGAUAACUAUUGUGCCCAACUGGGAGUGAUGUAAGGUGGAGCUGGUUGAGGGAACCUGGAAGUACAGGCCAUCACUGCGUCCCUGCUGAGCUUCUUGUG
Molecule: long non-coding RNA, 977 nt
Filed under: Elaeis guineensis (African oil palm)
Lineage: Eukaryota; Viridiplantae; Streptophyta; Magnoliopsida; Arecales; Arecaceae
Description: long non-coding RNA (EGUI_LNC017728)
Source: RNAcentral